This 73-nucleotide transfer RNA is filed under the name Ovis aries (sheep). It matches the Rfam family "tRNA". From Rfam's summary of the family: Transfer RNA (tRNA) molecules are approximately 80 nucleotides in length. The record is from Rfam by way of RNAcentral. Lineage: Eukaryota; Metazoa; Chordata; Mammalia; Artiodactyla; Bovidae.
UCCCUGGUGGUUCAGUGGUUAGAACUCUGUGCUCCCAAUGCAGGGGGCACGGGUUCCAUCCCUGGUUAGGGAA